This 298-nucleotide ribosomal RNA is filed under the name uncultured bacterium. Its description in RNAcentral is "partial 16S ribosomal RNA". It matches the Rfam family "Bacterial small subunit ribosomal RNA", at positions 218 to 507 of the family's 1533-position model. The record is from RNAcentral.
CGAUGGGAGCGGCCGAUAUCGGAUUAGCUAGUUGGUGAGGUAAAGGCUCACCAAGGCGACGAUCCGUAGCGGGUCUGAGAGGACGACCCGCCACACUGGAACUGAGACACGGUCCAGACUCCUACGGGAGGCAGCAGUGGGGGAAUUUUGGACAAUGGGGGAAACCCUGAUCCAGCCAUUCCGCGUGAGUGAAGAAGGCCUUCGGGUUGUAAAGCUCUUUCAGCAGGAACGAAACGGCAGGCUUUAAUACAGCCUGCUAAUGACGGUACCUGCAGAAGAAGCACCGGCUAACUACGUG